GUUGGUGCAAAAGUAAUUGCGGUCUUUGCCAUAAAAGUAAUGGCAAAAGCUGCAAUUACUUUU
Molecule: microRNA precursor, 63 nt
Organism: Gorilla gorilla gorilla (western lowland gorilla)
Lineage: Eukaryota; Metazoa; Chordata; Mammalia; Primates; Hominidae
Source: Ensembl